RNAcentral lists this unclassified non-coding RNA (216 nucleotides) under Hevea brasiliensis (rubber tree). Lineage: Eukaryota; Viridiplantae; Streptophyta; Magnoliopsida; Malpighiales; Euphorbiaceae. The record is from RNAcentral.
AUACCAAGUCAUUGGUAAUCUCCCACCUGCAUGGCAACCACCAUUGAGUUAAUUUUCUACAAAGUAAGUAAAAAAACGUUCUUCAUUUCAUGCAAAGGAAUGGAUCAAAUUAUUAUGUAUUUAGUAUUGUAUGAAUUCACCUGGGUUAUAGUCACCAAAGAUGAUUUCUGCAAUUGCCGUUCCUCCAUAUUGACCUGGAUAACCAGCCCACAAAAU